Molecule: ribosomal RNA, 1372 nt
Filed under: uncultured bacterium
Lineage: Bacteria
Description: bacterial SSU rRNA
Rfam family: Bacterial small subunit ribosomal RNA
Source: RNAcentral
GAUGAACGCUGGCGGCGUGCCUAAUACAUGCAAGUCGAGCGAACGGACGAGAAGCUUGCUUCUCUGAUGUUAGCGGCGGACGGGUGAGUAACACGUGGAUAACCUACCUAUAAGACUGGGAUAACUUCGGGAAACCGGAGCUAAUACCGGAUAAUAUUUUGAACCGCAUGGUUCAAAAGUGAAAGACGGUCUUGCUGUCACUUAUAGGUGGAUCCGCGCUGCAUUAGCUAGUUGGUAAGGUAACGGCUUACCAAGGCAACGAUGCAUAGCCGACCUGAGAGGGUGAUCGGCCACACUGGAACUGAGACACGGUCCAGACUCCUACGGGAGGCAGCAGUAGGGAAUCUUCCGCAAUGGGCGAAAGCCUGACGGAGCAACGCCGCGUGAGUGAUGAAGGUCUUCGGAUCGUAAAACUCUGUUAUUAGGGAAGAACAUAUGUGUAAGUAACUGUGCACAUCUUGACGGUACCUAAUCAGAAAGCCACGGCUAACUACGUGCCAGCAGCCGCGGUAAUACGUAGGUGGCAAGCGUUAUCCGGAAUUAUUGGGCGUAAAGCGCGCGUAGGCGGUUUUUUAAGUCUGAUGUGAAAGCCCACGGCUCAACCGUGGAGGGUCAUUGGAAACUGGAAACCUUGAGUGCAGAAGAGGAAAGUGGAAUUCCAUGUGUAGCGGUGAAAUGCGCAGAGAUAUGGAGGAACACCAGUGGCGAAGGCGACUUUCUGGUCUGUAACUGACGCUGAUGUGCGAAAGCGUGGGGAUCAAACAGGAUUAGAUACCCUGGUAGUCCACGCCGUAAACGAUGAGUGCUAAGUGUUAGGGGGUUUCCGCCCCUUAGUGCUGCAGCUAACGCAUUAAGCACUCCGCCUGGGGAGUACGACCGCAAGGUUGAAACUCAAAGGAAUUGACGGGGACCCGCACAAGCGGUGGAGCAUGUGGUUUAAUUCGAAGCAACGCGAAGAACCUUACCAAAUCUUGACAUCCUUUGACAACUCUAGAGAUAGAGCUUUCCCCUUCGGGGGACAAAGUGACAGGUGGUGCAUGGUUGUCGUCAGCUCGUGUCGUGAGAUGUUGGGUUAAGUCCCGCAACGAGCGCAACCCUUAAGCUUAGUUGCCAUCAUUAAGUUGGGCACUCUAAGUUGACUGCCGGUGACAAACCGGAGGAAGGUGGGGAUGACGUCAAAUCAUCAUGCCCCUUAUGAUUUGGGCUACACACGUGCUACAAUGGACAAUACAAAGGGCAGCGAAACCGCGAGGUCAAGCAAAUCCCAUAAAGUUGUUCUCAGUUCGGAUUGUAGUCUGCAACUCGACUACAUGAAGCUGGAAUCGCUAGUAAUCGUAGAUCAGCAUGCUACGGUGAAUACGUUCCCGGGUCU